UUAAGCGACUAAGCGUACACGGUGGAUGCCCUGGCAGUCAGAGGCGAUGAAGGACGUGCUAAUCUGCGAUAAGCGUCGGUAAGGUGAUAUGAACCGUUAUAACCGGCGAUUUCCGAAUGGGGAAACCCAGUGUGUUUCGACACACUAUCAUUAACUGAAUCCAUAGGUUAAUGAGGCGAACCGGGGGAACUGAAACAUCUAAGUACCCCGAGGAAAAGAAAUCAACCGAGAUUCCCCCAGUAGCGGCGAGCGAACGGGGAGCAGCCCAGAGCCUGAAUCAGUGUGUGUGUUAGUGGAAGCGUCUGGAAAGGCGCGCGAUACAGGGUGACAGCCCCGUACACAAAAAUGCACAUGCUGUGAGCUCGAUGAGUAGGGCGGGACACGUGGUAUCCUGUCUGAAUAUGGGGGGACCAUCCUCCAAGGCUAAAUACUCCUGACUGACCGAUAGUGAACCAGUACCGUGAGGGAAAGGCGAAAAGAACCCCGGCGAGGGGAGUGAAAAAGAACCUGAAACCGUGUACGUACAAGCAGUGGGAGCACGCUUAGGCGUGUGACUGCGUACCUUUUGUAUAAUGGGUCAGCGACUUAUAUUCUGUAGCAAGGUUAACCGAAUAGGGGAGCCGAAGGGAAACCGAGUCUUAACUGGGCGUUAAGUUGCAGGGUAUAGACCCGAAACCCGGUGAUCUAGCCAUGGGCAGGUUGAAGGUUGGGUAACACUAACUGGAGGACCGAACCGACUAAUGUUGAAAAAUUAGCGGAUGACUUGUGGCUGGGGGUGAAAGGCCAAUCAAACCGGGAGAUAGCUGGUUCUCCCCGAAAGCUAUUUAGGUAGCGCCUCGUGAAUUCAUCUCCGGGGGUAGAGCACUGUUUCGGCAAGGGGGUCAUCCCGACUUACCAACCCGAUGCAAACUGCGAAUACCGGAGAAUGUUAUCACGGGAGACACACGGCGGGUGCUAACGUCCGUCGUGAAGAGGGAAACAACCCAGACCGCCAGCUAAGGUCCCAAAGUCAUGGUUAAGUGGGAAACGAUGUGGGAAGGCCCAGACAGCCAGGAUGUUGGCUUAGAAGCAGCCAUCAUUUAAAGAAAGCGUAAUAGCUCACUGGUCGAGUCGGCCUGCGCGGAAGAUGUAACGGGGCUAAACCAUGCACCGAAGCUGCGGCAGCGACGCUGAUGCGUUGUUGGGUAGGGGAGCGUUCUGUAAGCCUGCGAAGGUGUGCUGUGAGGCAUGCUGGAGGUAUCAGAAGUGCGAAUGCUGACAUAAGUAACGAUAAAGCGGGUGAAAAGCCCGCUCGCCGGAAGACCAAGGGUUCCUGUCCAACGUUAAUCGGGGCAGGGUGAGUCGACCCCUAAGGCGAGGCCGAAAGGCGUAGUCGAUGGGAAACAGGUUAAUAUUCCUGUACUUGGUGUUACUGCGAAGGGGGGACGGAGAAGGCUAUGUUGGCCGGGCGACGGUUGUCCCGGUUUAAGCGUGUAGGCUGGUUUUCCAGGCAAAUCCGGAAAAUCAAGGCUGAGGCGUGAUGACGAGGCACUACGGUGCUGAAGCAACAAAUGCCCUGCUUCCAGGAAAAGCCUCUAAGCAUCAGGUAACAUCAAAUCGUACCCCAAACCGACACAGGUGGUCAGGUAGAGAAUACCAAGGCGCUUGAGAGAACUCGGGUGAAGGAACUAGGCAAAAUGGUGCCGUAACUUCGGGAGAAGGCACGCUGAUAUGUAGGUGAAGUCCCUCGCGGAUGGAGCUGAAAUCAGUCGAAGAUACCAGCUGGCUGCAACUGUUUAUUAAAAACACAGCACUGUGCAAACACGAAAGUGGACGUAUACGGUGUGACGCCUGCCCGGUGCCGGAAGGUUAAUUGAUGGGGUUAGCGCAAGCGAAGCUCUUGAUCGAAGCCCCGGUAAACGGCGGCCGUAACUAUAACGGUCCUAAGGUAGCGAAAUUCCUUGUCGGGUAAGUUCCGACCUGCACGAAUGGCGUAAUGAUGGCCAGGCUGUCUCCACCCGAGACUCAGUGAAAUUGAACUCGCUGUGAAGAUGCAGUGUACCCGCGGCAAGACGGAAAGACCCCGUGAACCUUUACUAUAGCUUGACACUGAACAUUGAGCCUUGAUGUGUAGGAUAGGUGGGAGGCUUUGAAGUGUGGACGCCAGUCUGCAUGGAGCCGACCUUGAAAUACCACCCUUUAAUGUUUGAUGUUCUAACGUGGACCCGUAAUCCGGGUUGCGGACAGUGUCUGGUGGGUAGUUUGACUGGGGCGGUCUCCUCCUAAAGAGUAACGGAGGAGCACGAAGGUUGGCUAAUCCUGGUCGGACAUCAGGAGGUUAGUGCAAUGGCAUAAGCCAGCUUGACUGCGAGCGUGACGGCGCGAGCAGGUGCGAAAGCAGGUCAUAGUGAUCCGGUGGUUCUGAAUGGAAGGGCCAUCGCUCAACGGAUAAAAGGUACUCCGGGGAUAACAGGCUGAUACCGCCCAAGAGUUCAUAUCGACGGCGGUGUUUGGCACCUCGAUGUCGGCUCAUCACAUCCUGGGGCUGAAGUAGGUCCCAAGGGUAUGGCUGUUCGCCAUUUAAAGUGGUACGCGAGCUGGGUUUAGAACGUCGUGAGACAGUUCGGUCCCUAUCUGCCGUGGGCGCUGGAGAACUGAGGGGGGCUGCUCCUAGUACGAGAGGACCGGAGUGGACGCAUCACUGGUGUUCGGGUUGUCAUGCCAAUGGCACUGCCCGGUAGCUAAAUGCGGAAGAGAUAAGUGCUGAAAGCAUCUAAGCACGAAACUUGCCCCGAGAUGAGUUCUCCCUGACUCCUUGAGAGUCCUGAAGGAACGUUGAAGACGACGACGUUGAUAGGCCGGGUGUGUAAGCGCAGCGAUGCGUUGAGCUAACCGGUACUAAUGAACCGUGAGGCUUAACCUU
Molecule: ribosomal RNA, 2902 nt
Filed under: human gut metagenome
Description: bacterial LSU rRNA
Rfam family: Bacterial large subunit ribosomal RNA
Source: RNAcentral